This 601-nucleotide unclassified non-coding RNA is filed under the name Mycoplasmoides gallisepticum. Its description in RNAcentral is "Mycoplasma gallisepticum partial contains 16S ribosomal RNA, 16S-23S ribosomal RNA intergenic spacer, and 23S ribosomal RNA". The record is from RNAcentral. Lineage: Bacteria; Bacillati; Mycoplasmatota; Mycoplasmoidales; Mycoplasmoidaceae.
AGAAAAGUUAAACCCAUAAAAGCAAAUUGAUAACUUAAAAAUUGUUGGUCGGAUUCUAUUCAGUUCUCAAGGGGUAUUUUAAAAGCAGUUAUUAAGUUUUUUCUUUAAAGCUUUUGAACUUAAUAACACUUUAAGUUAACCUUGUAAACAUUAUUAAGUUUACCUUUCAAAGAUCAAAGAACAAUUAUUAAAACCUUUUUGAUCAGAUAACUAAUAAACUAACUAACUAAAUCAUUGAUGCAUAAUUAACUGCAUCAAUGAUUUUUUUUGUUAUUUUUACCGCAAAAAAUGCAGAUUCAUCUGUUCAAACCAAUUAUUUAAAAAGGCUUUUUUUUAUUAUUAAUCAUUCGUUAUUUUUUACUUGUGAUUUUAGCUUUAAAUCUUAUAAAAAAAUUUAAUGAUAAAAGUUUUUUUAGAAAAGUGUUGUGCAAACUGAUUUGUUGUGCUAUAAUCUUUAAGGCUUAUAUAGCUACAUUGUUCUUUGAAAACUGAAUACGACAAAUCUUUCUAGUCCGAAAUUUGAUUAAAGUAUCAAAUCAAAUUUCAUAUAAUAUAGAUUCAAUAAAAAUAGCUAAGGAUCAAAUACAUAAGUUACUAAGGG